CGCUGGCGGCGUGCUUAACACAUGCAAGUCGAGUGCGCGUCUGUAGCAAUACAGAUGGCGCACGGCGCACGGGUGCGUAACACGUGGGUAAUCUGCCCUUCGAAGGGGAAUAACUCGCCGAAAGGCGAGCUAAUUCCGCAUAACAUUCCGAGAACCUUGGUUUUUGGAUUCAAAGGCGUAAGUCGUCGGAGGAGGAGCCCGCGCACGAUUAGCUAGUUGGUAGGGUAACGGCCUACCAAGGCUAUGAUCGUUAGCUGGUCUGAGAGGAUGGCCAGCCACACUGGAACUGAGACACGGUCCAGACUCCUACGGGAGGCAGCAGUGGGGAAUCUUGCACAAUGGGCGAAAGCCCUGAUGCAGCGACGCCGCGUGGGGGAUGAAGCUCCUCGGAGUGUCAACCCCUUUCGACCCGGACGAAUGCC
RNAcentral lists this ribosomal RNA (422 nucleotides) under uncultured bacterium. RNAcentral's name for it is "bacterial SSU rRNA". It matches the Rfam family "Bacterial small subunit ribosomal RNA", at positions 34 to 453 of the family's 1533-position model. The record is from RNAcentral.